GUGUAAUACGAAAGAUACGCAACGCUCGUGAUAUUUGGCUUUUUGUUGUUGGAUGUAUCGUCGUAAGGAUUUGAGGAAGGAGAAGAGUUAAAAAUAUUGUCUGAGAAGCAAAGCUACUUAUUGUUGUUGUAGACAGAUAAGUUUACACAAUCCUGUUAUUUCGUGCUGAUAGCUUUCUUUAACUUAAUAAUAAUACAAAAUAGUUAAAGUCUUCUGUUCGUAAAUCUUUCUUGUUACAGUGAACGUAACAACAGAGUUGUAUUGAAAUCAAAUGAAGUGCUUUCACUUAUUUGGCAUACGUCGUACAAUAAAAAAUACCUGUAUAAAAAACUAGUGUGCACAAUUUGACAUAUUAUGGACAAUCAUGAUGAUGGUGUAUAAAGGUUUCCUUUAUGCUGACAGUUUUAUAAAUGCCGUCUGGUGUUUCUGUAAAUGAAUUAUUUAUUGUUGUAGUAGAUAGGUCAAUACAUCAAAACGAAGAUAACAACAACUUUGCUCAAUACUGUGGUGAUCUAAAAUUUGCAUAGGAUGCAUUGGUUACAACGAAGUUGAAUUUAGAACAAGGAAAUACAGAGGGCAAAAAACCUAUGAAGAAUUAGUAGAAAUUAUUUAAAAGAAUAAGAACAAGCAACCUAGUAAAAGAAGCAAUGUCUGUGUUUGACAUAAGACUUUUCCCAUUAUAUUUAGUUUCUUUGUACAAAAUACUGUUUUUAGAUAAACUAGAUUUGGAAGUCUUUCACUGAUAUUUUUAGCAGGAGACAAAAGGAAAAAUUCAAUGGAAUGAUGUAAAAUUCAAAGAUUUGUCAACCUAGAGGAAACUAGUGUGGGUAACUGUAAUUUGCAAGGGCACAAGAGAAGAGUAGUGCUAGAAAGUUAGCAUUUUUGAGAAUUAAUAUCGUCUUCUUAACCAUAAUAUUAUAAGUAAUGACUUUUACAAUAACAAUUAUAUAAGUUGCUAAAUA
This is a long non-coding RNA of Xenia sp. Carnegie-2017, 962 nucleotides long. RefSeq lists it as uncharacterized. The record is from RefSeq and is a predicted model, not a curated record. The transcript is spliced from 2 exons. NCBI's taxonomy places the organism in Eukaryota, Metazoa, Cnidaria, Anthozoa, Malacalcyonacea, Xeniidae.